GACGAACGCUGGCGGCGUGCUUAACACAUGCAAGUCGAACGGAAAGGCCCUGCUUUUGUGGGGUGCUCGAGUGGCGAACGGGUGAGUAACACGUGAGUAACCUGCCCUUGACUUUGGGAUAACUUCAGGAAACUGGGGCUAAUACCGGAUAGGAGCUCCUGCUGCAUGGUGGGGGUUGGAAAGUUUCGGCGGUUGGGGAUGGACUCGCGGCUUAUCAGCUUGUUGGUGGGGUAGUGGCUUACCAAGGCUUUGACGGGUAGCCGGCCUGAGAGGGUGACCGGCGACAUUGGGACUGCGAUACGGCCCAGACUCCUACGGGAGGCAGCAGUGGGGAAUAUUGCACAAUGGGCGGAAGUCUGAUGCAGCAACGCCGCGUGCGGGAUGACGGCCUUCGGGUUGUAAACCGCUUUCGCCUGUGACGAAGCGUGAGUGACGGUAAUGGGUAAAGAAGCACCGGCUAACUACGUG
This 468-nucleotide ribosomal RNA is filed under the name uncultured bacterium. Its description in RNAcentral is "partial 16S ribosomal RNA". It matches the Rfam family "Bacterial small subunit ribosomal RNA", at positions 28 to 507 of the family's 1533-position model. The record is from RNAcentral.